RNAcentral lists this ribosomal RNA (235 nucleotides) under uncultured bacterium. RNAcentral describes it as "partial 16S ribosomal RNA". It matches the Rfam family "Bacterial small subunit ribosomal RNA", at positions 355 to 583 of the family's 1533-position model. The record is from RNAcentral.
UAGGGAAUCUUCCACAAUGGACGCAAGUCUGAUGGAGCAACGCCGCGUGAGUGAAGAAGGUUUUCGGACCGUAAAGCUCUGUUGUUGGUGAAGAAGGAUAGAGGUAGUAACUGGCCUUUAUUUGACGGUAAUCAACCAGAAAGUCACGGCUAACUACGUGCCAGCAGCCGCGGUAAUCGUAGGUGGCAAGCGUUGUCCGGAUUUAUUGGGCGUAAAGCGAGCGCAGGCGGAAGAA